Molecule: ribosomal RNA, 489 nt
Filed under: uncultured bacterium
Lineage: Bacteria
Description: partial 16S ribosomal RNA
Rfam family: Bacterial small subunit ribosomal RNA
Source: RNAcentral
AUUGAACGCUGGCGGCAGGCCUAGCACAUGCAAGUCGAACGGUAACAGGAAGAAGCUUGCUUCUUUGCUGACGAGUGGCGGACGGGUGAGUAAUGUCUGGGAAACUGCCUGAUGGAGGGGGAUAACUACUGGAAACGGUAGCUAAUACCGCAUAACGUCGCAAGACCAAAAAGGGGGACCUUCGGGCCUCUUGCCAUCGGAUGUGCCCAGAUGGGAUUAGCUAGUAGGUGGGGUAACGGCUCACCUAGGCGACGAUCCCUAGCUGGUCUGAGAGGAUGACCAGCCACACUGGAACUGAGACACGGUCCAGACUCCUACGGGAGGCAGCAGUGGGGAAUAUUGCACAAUGGGCGCAAGCCUGAUGCAGCCAUGCCGCGUGUAUGAAGAAGGCCUUCGGGUUGUAAAGUACUUUCAGCGGGGAGGAAGGGAGUAAAGUUAAGACCUUUGCUCAUUGACGUUACCCGCAGAAGAAACACCGGCUAACUCCGU